Molecule: ribosomal RNA, 483 nt
Filed under: uncultured bacterium
Lineage: Bacteria
Description: partial 16S ribosomal RNA
Rfam family: Bacterial small subunit ribosomal RNA
Source: RNAcentral
GACGAACGCUGGCGGCGUGCUUAACACAUGCAAGUCGAACGCUGAAGCUCAGCUUUUGUUGGGUGGAUGAGUGGCGAACGGGUGAGUAACACGUGAGUAACCUGCCCCCUUCUUUGGGAUAACGCCCGGAAACGGGUGCUAAUACUGGAUAUUCACUGGUCUUCGCAUGGGGGUUGGUGGAAAGGGUUUUUCUGGUGGGGGAUGGGCUCGCGGCCUAUCAGCUUGUUGGUGGGGUGAUGGCCUACCAAGGCUUUGACGGGUAGCCGGCCUGAGAGGGUGACCGGUAACAUUGGGACUGAGAUACGGCCCAGGCUCCUACGGGAGGCAGCAGUGGGGAAUAUUGCACAAUGGGCGCAAGCCUGAUGCAGCGACGCCGCGUGAGGGAUGGAGGCCUUCGGGUUGUGAACCUCUGUCGCUAAUGGUCAAGCCGCAACAAUGGUUGUGGUGAGGGUAGUGGGUAAAGAAGCGCCGGCUAACUACGUG